This 484-nucleotide ribosomal RNA is filed under the name uncultured bacterium. RNAcentral's name for it is "partial 16S ribosomal RNA". It matches the Rfam family "Bacterial small subunit ribosomal RNA", at positions 30 to 507 of the family's 1533-position model. The record is from RNAcentral.
AUUGAACGCUGGCGGCAGGCCUAACACAUGCAAGUCGAGCGGAUGAAGGGAGCUUGCUCCUGGAUUCAGCGGCGGACGGGUGAGUAAUGCCUAGGAAUCUGCCUGGUAGUGGGGGAUAACGUCCGGAAACGGGCGCUAAUACCGCAUACGUCCUGAGGGAGAAAGUGGGGGAUCUUCGGACCUCACGCUAUCAGAUGACCCUUGGUCGGAUUAGCUAGUUGGUGGGGUAAAGGCCUACCAAGGCGACGAUCCGUAACCUCUCUGAGAGGAUGAUCAGUCACACCUGAACUGGGACACGGUCCAGACUCCCACGGGAGGCAGCAGGUGGGAAUUUUUGGCAAUUGGCGGAAGCCUUACUCAGCCCAUGCGCGUGAUUUAAGAAAGUUUUCCGAUUGUUAAAGCCCUUUAUGUUGGAAGAAAGGGCGGUAAAUUAAUACCUCGCUUUUUUACGGUUCCCAACCGAAAAGCCACGGCCAACUUCGUU